RNAcentral lists this ribosomal RNA (491 nucleotides) under uncultured bacterium. RNAcentral's name for it is "partial 16S ribosomal RNA". It matches the Rfam family "Bacterial small subunit ribosomal RNA", at positions 29 to 507 of the family's 1533-position model. The record is from RNAcentral.
AGUGAACGCUGGCGGUAGGCCUAACACAUGCAAGUCGAACGGCAGCACAGUAAGAGCUUGCUCUUACGGGUGGCGAGUGGCGGACGGGUGAGGAAUACAUCGGAAUCUACUUUUUCGUGGGGGAUAACGUAGGGAAACUUACGCUAAUACCGCAUACGACCUACGGGUGAAAGCAGGGGAUCUUCGGACCUUGCGCGAUUGAAUGAGCCGAUGUCAGAUUAGCUAGUUGGCGGGGUAAAGGCCCACCAAGGCGACGAUCCGUAGCUGGUCUGAGAGGAUGAUCAGCCACACUGGAACUGAGACACGGUCCAGACUCCUACGGGAGGCAGCAGUGGGGAAUAUUGGACAAUGGCGCAAGCCUGAUCCAGCCAUACCGCGUGGGUGAAGAAGGCCUUCGGGUUGUAAAGCCCUUUUGUUGGGAAAGAAAAGCAGCAGGUUAAUACCCCGCUGUUCUGACGGUACCCAAAGAAUAAGCACCGGCUAACUUCGUG